GUGGGGAAUAUUGCACAAUGGGCGAAAGCCUGAUCCAGCCAUGCCGCGUGUGUGAAGAAGGCCUUCGGGUUGUAAAGCACUUUAAGCGAGGAGGAAAGGUUGAAGGUUAAUACCCUUUAGCUGUGACGUUACUCGCAGAAUAAGCACCGGCAAACUUCGUGCCAGCAGCCGCGGUAAUACGAAGGGUGCAAGCGUUACUCGGAAUUACUGGGCGUAAAGCGCGCGUAGGUGGUUAAGUAAGAGAUCUGUGAAAGCCCCGGGCUCAACCUGGGAAUUGCAGGUCGAAAUGCUUGGCUAGGGUAGGGGAGAGGGGUGUGGAAUUCCAGGUGUAGCGGUGAAAUGCGUAGAUAUCUGGAGGAACAUCAGUGGCGAAGGGGACACCCUGGACCGAUACUGACACUGAGGUGCGAAAGCGUGGUAGCGAACAGGAUUAGAAACCCGAGUAGUCC
RNAcentral lists this ribosomal RNA (449 nucleotides) under uncultured bacterium. Its description in RNAcentral is "partial 16S ribosomal RNA". It matches the Rfam family "Bacterial small subunit ribosomal RNA", at positions 354 to 796 of the family's 1533-position model. The record is from RNAcentral.